This is a non-coding RNA of Arachis ipaensis, 5894 nucleotides long. Lineage: Eukaryota; Viridiplantae; Streptophyta; Magnoliopsida; Fabales; Fabaceae. The record is from RefSeq and is a predicted model, not a curated record.
UACCUAUUACGAUUCUGGAAAUCAAAAUCGGAGACUACCCUAACUGUUGGACGGAAGAAAGAUCAGGAACCUACUCCAAAUCUCGUUCUCCUUCAUACUCUCAGCUCUAAAUCGCACCCCAAAUCGUGUUCUCCUUCACACUCUCGCUCUCAAUCUCUGCUUCGCACUCUCGCUCUCAAUCUCACUGGCGCUCUCGAUUGUGCUCCUUCUCUGCUUCGCACUCUCGCUCUCAAUCUCACUGGCGCUCUCGAUCGUGCUCUUCCACUCCUUGAAUCUCUCUCUCGUUUCAACAAAUUCUAGGGUUGGGUUUGUUAUUCUCUGUUUUGAGGUUUUGAAUUUAGGUAUAAAUGAGUUUAAUUACUCCUUCAAUUCAGUGGUGGGACUAGCAAGAAAACUUUACAAUCAGAUUUGCUAAUCAGAAUUGGAGAAUAACGGAACGGGAUUUUGUGGAAGAAAUUGGAGCCAGAGAGAAGCCAUGGCUCAGCGGUUUUCGUUUCGCUUUUCUACUUUCAAGUUAAUAGUUAAUGCUCUCACACUCUCGGUCAGUCACAAAGCUCCCAACCUCUGACUCUGGCCAGUCUAUGCUCACCUCUCUCUUGCCGGUGCUCGCCUCUCACUCUUGACGGUCUGUACUCGCCUCUAGCCGGCUCAUCUGCUCAUCUCUAUGUGUGCUUCUCUGCUCGCCUCCGUCUGUCGCCUUGAAUUUCUGUUUAAAUAGGAAAGGUGUAAAGGGUGAAACACAAUUUGAGUGUUGUUCGUUCCUUUAUAUACAAUUAAAUAAUUUGGGUGUAAAGAGCUAAGAAAAUUUUAGAUGCUGGAGCCUUAGAAAAUGUUUCUGCCAUAUUUCGAUUGCAUGUGGCACCAAAGUUACCUAUAGGCGUAGUGGCAUCUAGAUCUGGUUCUUUCGUUGCCGGAAGCGGCUUCUUUGAAGCAAUAAUAAGUGGCAAGGGAAGUCAUGCAGCCAUUCCUCAGCAUUCUAUAGACCCCAUAUUGGCAGCUUCUAAUGUGAUUGUUAGCUUACAACAUAUCAUUUCUCGCGAGGCCGAUCCUCUGGAUUCCCAGGGGGGAAUUGAAGACGGUGAAGAGCCCAAAUUGGCUGUUAUUAGGGAGCUUCGAGAAGAAACUGGAAUAGCUUCUGCUGAGAUAAGUUAGCCAUGGAUAAGAGUUGGAUGCUCAAACCGCGAACUUCUAAGAAGUACUUAGAUGGAUUAGAUGAGUUUCUUGAUUUUGCAUUUCAUAAUGCAGCUGAAGGAACUCAGAUUCUAUGCCCUUGUAAGAAUUGCAAUAAUUGUUCUUGGAGAAAUCGAGAGGAUGUUUACGAGCAUUUAGUUUGUGAUGGGUUUGAUAAGGGAUACAAUAAGUGGAUAUUUCAUGGAGAAUGUGGAUCUUCAAAAUCUGCUGAGAAGGAUGGAUCUGAAAUACAAGAUAACUUGGAUAAAUUGUUGGAAGAGACUUUCAUGAUGUCGAGGCAAUUUGAAACGAGUCAAUUUGAUGACGCAUUGGAUGAGGAUGAAAAUGAAGAAGAGCCUGAUGAAGAAACUAAGAAGUUUUACAAGUUGAUCCAUGAUGCUCAUCAAGAAUUAUAUCUGGGAUGUAAAGAUUUUACAAAGUUAUCAACUAUUGUUCGUUUGCUCCACAUAAAGAACCUUCAUGGUUGGAGCAACGUAUCAUUUAAUAUGUUACUACAACUACUCAAUGAAUUACUUCCCGAAGGCUCGUGUCUACCAUCAAUAUAUGAAGAAUGCAAGUACAUCAUCAAGGGCUUAGAUUUCAGUUAUGAAAAAAUUGACGCUUGUCCAAAUGACUGUAUCUUAUACUGGAAGAAGUUUAAGGAAUACACUACUUGUCCAAAGUGUGGUGCUUCUAGGUAUAAAAUGAAAAAGGUCCAAAGUGCUAAAAGAAAAGUUUCUUGCAAGUUAACUUCUCAACCAAUUCCAGCAAAGAUUUUGAGGUAUUUUCCUUUGAAACUGAGGAUCAAGAAACUAUUCAUAUCUUCAAAAACCGCUGAUCUGAUGACGUGGCACAAUAAAGGUCGUAAAAAUGAUGGAAAACUAAGGCAUCCGGCAGACUCACCAGCUUGGAAAACUUUCGAUUCGUUACAUUCAAAUUUUGCAUUGGAGCCUCGAAAUGUGAGGAUGGGUUUAGCAAGUGAUGGUUUUAACCCAUAUAAAACAAUGAGUAGUAGAUACAGUAUUUGGCCGGUGGUCCUGACGAUAUAUAACUUGUCUCCAUGGGAUUGCAUGAAACAACAUUCUAUGAUGUUGUCUUUGCUUAUUCCUGGUCCUUCUUCUCCUAAUAGAAAUAUUGAUAUAUAUUUACAACCUUUAAUCGAUGAGUUAAAAGAGUUGUGGGAGAAUGGCUUUGAGACAUAUGAUGCUUCUAGUGGAAAGUUAUUUCGUGUACAUGCUGCCUUACUUUGGACUAUAAGCGAUUUGCCUGGUUACUCUAUGUUAUCUGGUUGGCGUACAAGUGGAAAAUUGGCAUGUCCUGUUUGUAAUUAUGACACAUGCUCUAGAUUCUUGAAACAUAGUAAAAAAACGUGUUACAUGGGACAUCGAAGAUUUUUAGCAUCAAAGCAUCGGUGGCGAAAGGACAAGAAGAGUUUUGACGGUACGAAAGAGCUAAGAACAGCACCUGUACCACUAUCAGGGCCUGAUGUAUUAGAAAAAUUAGGCAAUAGGGAGAAUUCGUUUGGGAAGACUAUAAAGAGGAGAAGAAAUGAUGAUGAUCCCUGGACUAAGAAAAGCAUCUUUUUCGAGUUACCAUAUUGGAGUACUAAUUUGCUUCGUCACAACUUAGAUGUAAUGCACAUUGAAAAGAAUAUUUGUGAAAAUAUUGUUGGAACAUUAUUGAAUUUAGAAGGAAAAUCAAAAGAUCAUCUCAAAGCAAGGCUUGACUUGGUAGAUAUGGAGAUACGGCAUGAACUUCAUCCAAAAAAUAUAGGACUAAAUAAGACAUUUUUGCCACCAGCACGUUUCACAAUGUCUUCAAAGGAAAAAAGUGACUUUUGUUGUGUUUUGAAAAAUGUGAAGCUUCCUGAAGGGUAUGGCUCCAAUAUUUCUAGGUGUGUUCAACUGGAACAUCACAAACUUCUUGGUCUUAAGAGUCACGACUACCAUAUAUUGAUGCAAGACUUGCUUAAAAUAGCAAUUCGAAGAGCCUUACCAAAAGAAGUUGUGAGAGUUCUACUCAAGUUCAGUUCAUACUUCAAGACUUUAUGCUCUAAAGUUAUCAGAGUUGAUGUGUUUGAACAAUUAGAUGUCGAAAUUGCACAAAUUCUUUGUGAAUUAGAAAGAAUAUUUCCACCAUCAUUUUUUGUGCUAAUGAUCCAUUUGUCUAUGCAUCUAGCAUAUGAAGCAAGACUUGGUGGACCUGUCCAAUACCGUUGGAUGUACCCAAUUGAGAGGUUCCUACUCAAAUUGAAGAAUUAUGUCCGUAAUAAAAGUCGUCCUGAGGGAUCUAUUGCAGAAGGGUAUUUAGCAGAUGAAUGUUUGACAUUUUGUUCAAGAUACUUGAAUGACAAUGUCCGAACAAAAUUCAAUAACCCAACAAAGAAUCUUGACGGCCCAAUAGGGAAUGGGGUGAUGAUAAGUCUGGAUCCUCUUAUGUGGGAGCAAUCUCAUCGAUAUGUAUUGUUCAAUUGUAAUAUCACCGCUCCAUAUAUCAAACAACAUGAGGAGAUUGUUUUUAGUGAUGCUCAUAGCCUUGGAGAUAAAUGGGACAAGACAAAAGACCAUUGUCUUACUUUUACGGAAUUGUUUGAAGAUUUUGCUAGGAAUUCAUCUGUUAAUAAGGAGUUGAAGUGGUUGUCUAGAGGGCCAAAUGUUGCUGCAAGAAGAUUUUCUGCUUAUGUGAUAAAUGGUUAUAAGUUUGUGACUGAAGAUUGUGAGAGAAAAACACAAAAUACUGGAGUUAUUGUUAUUUCAUCCACUGUCAAGUUUAGAAAUGAGAAAGAUGAGGAUCCAGAAGUAGAAAAUGUCACUUAUUAUGGAGUUCUAAAAGAUAUACCUGAGUUAGAUUAUCAUGGGCAUUCUAAAUAUGUGCUAUUUAAGUGCGAUUGGUUUCAAAGUAAAAAAGACAACUUUGGGUUAACACUGGUAAACUUUAGAAAGCCAAUUUAUGAAAAUGAUCCAUUCGUGUUUGCAACUCAAGUAAGACAAGUUUAUUACACAGAAGAUCCAAGUGAUACUUGGCAUGUUGUUACCAACACCAUUCCAAGGGAUUUGUUUGAUAUAUACGGUGACUUAGAUAAUGAUGACAUGGAAAAGUUCAAGGAUGGUCCUCAAAUAACAAGUUCUAUGCUUUAUCAAUCUACAAGUGUUGAAGAUGAUGUUAAUUGGAUUAGGGAUGAUAUACCUGGGACAACAAUUGAUACAUGCAUCUUAGAUAAUCAACCAAUGGGAGAAGAGUCUCAAGAUAAUCUUGAUUUUAGUCAUAGAGAUAUGUCAACCCUAUGAUUUUCUUCCUUCUAGGUAAUUUCAUACUCCUCUCAAUCCCCUUUACUAAUAAUUAUUUUAUUAAAUUGUAAGAAUCUUGAUUUUGCUUCCUUUUACGCUUCUCUCCUUCUGGGCUGAAUAGAGGUCUUGCUGCAAAUGAGGAUGAUUUGAGAAAGGCGGAUGCUGCGGCUAAGGAACUCGAAGCUGCCGAAGGACUAGUUGAUCUCUUGGCUGACCUCGAUAAAUUGCAAGGAAGAUGGAAACUGAUAUAUAGCAGUGCAUUCUCAUCUCGUACUCUAGGCGGCAGCCGGCCUGGACCUCCCACCGUAAGACUCCUUCCUAUAACUCUUGGACAAUUCUGUUUCUGAACUAGUAUCAUGCAUGAUAUAACUGUAAAUUGCUUUAGCCUGGUUCCAAGCCCUGUUCUUGCCGUCCUUUUCCUUUAUCCACUCACCUCUAAGAUGUACAGGGAAAGAUUUUGCCAAGGGUAACACACUGGCAAAGCCCCAAUUAUUUUGUUCUCGAUUGGCUUGCAAAGGCACUUAAGCUGCCUCAUGAUUUCCAUUCUACUGAAAUUGUAUUGCAGGGCAAGGUGGUGGAGUUAUUCAAGGAACAACGAGUGAAGCAGUAAUAGUUGUCUUGUUGGCUGCUCGGGCAAGAUCUUAAGGACGGUUGGAAAAGGCGCUCUUCCUAAGCUUGUGACAUAUGCAUCUGAUCAAACACACUCUUCUCUACUAAAAGCCUGCCAGAUAGGUGGACUUAAUCCUGAGCUUUGCAGGUCACUAAAAACUGAUGUUUCAACAAAUUAUGCACUUUCUCCUGAAGUAUUUUCUGAAGCAGUUUCAAGAGACAUUGCUAGUGGUCUUAUACCAUUUUUCUUAUGUGCUAUUGUUGGUACAACUUCAUUAACUGCUAUUGAUCCUCUACCUGAAAUGAGAAAAAUUGAGGUGUAUCAACUGAAGAACUCAUUCACAUCAACACAAGUAUAGUUUUGGAAGCACUUGGCGCUGCCCCUGUUCCAGGUGCUACUACUCUGACUGAAAAGCUGAACCACCAAGGUUUCAGUUUCAAAGGCACGCGCAAUCAUUGUAUUAGCUUCAGAUGAAAAUGCUGAUCAAUGUGAUGCACGAGCUUUGAGAGUUGUUCUCAGCCUCAAGUGUAAAUAAAGUCUUAAGAGGCCAUGUUGUUGUGGAGAUGAGUAUUGCUAAGAUCAGGAAUUAAAUUGUCUCAUUGUCUUGCUGCUGCAAUGCACAUGCUUGGAUUUGCACCUGUAAGGGAGAUGCUUGGUGCUGGCAUUAGUUUGUUUUUGUUGGUAACUCAUUCUGAAAUUUCUUAGGUAGCUAGGCCUUAGAGUGUGUUAUGUGUAGUAUAUUUUGUAUUUAAUCAUGUAAGCAUAUUGAAAAAAUAGAAAAAUUGACUUAUUGGUCCAAUUUUAAUGUUUAAAUAUCUUGGAUUUAA